This 71-nucleotide transfer RNA is filed under the name Loxodonta africana (African savanna elephant). It matches the Rfam family "tRNA". From Rfam's summary of the family: Transfer RNA (tRNA) molecules are approximately 80 nucleotides in length. Their secondary structure includes four short double-helical elements and three loops (D, anti-codon, and T loops). The record is from Rfam by way of RNAcentral. Lineage: Eukaryota; Metazoa; Chordata; Mammalia; Proboscidea; Elephantidae.
GCAUUCGUGGCUCAGUGGUAGAGUUCUCACCUUCCGUGUGCGAGACCCAGGUUCAGUCCCCAGCCAAUGCA